Molecule: non-coding RNA, 91 nt
Organism: Mycena epipterygia
Lineage: Eukaryota; Fungi; Basidiomycota; Agaricomycetes; Agaricales; Mycenaceae
Source: the annotation of a GenBank genome assembly
GACUCGGUGGCGAAUGGUUUCGCAUCCGUUCUCAUUUAGAUCGUUGUUUUGCAUUCAGCGGAAGGCGCCUGUUCGACUCAGGCCCGAGUCA